RNAcentral lists this transfer RNA (90 nucleotides) under Azoarcus sp. Its description in RNAcentral is "tRNA-Ser". It matches the Rfam family "tRNA". From Rfam's summary of the family: Transfer RNA (tRNA) molecules are approximately 80 nucleotides in length. Their secondary structure includes four short double-helical elements and three loops (D, anti-codon, and T loops). Lineage: Bacteria; Pseudomonadati; Pseudomonadota; Betaproteobacteria; Rhodocyclales; Zoogloeaceae. The record is from RNAcentral.
GGAGGCGUGGCAGAGUGGUUGAAUGCACCGGUCUUGAAAACCGGCAGGGGUUCGUGCCCCUCGUGAGUUCGAAUCUCACCGCCUCCGCCA